This 612-nucleotide ribosomal RNA is filed under the name Eulimnogammarus verrucosus. Its description in RNAcentral is "SSU rRNA". It matches the Rfam family "Eukaryotic small subunit ribosomal RNA", at positions 22 to 550 of the family's 1831-position model. The record is from RNAcentral. Lineage: Eukaryota; Metazoa; Arthropoda; Malacostraca; Amphipoda; Eulimnogammaridae.
AGUCAUAUGCUUGUCUCAAAGAUUAAGCCAUGCAUGUCUAAGUCCAAGCUGUGUUCACACGGCGAGACCGCGGACGGCUCAUUAAAUCAGUCGUGGUCCAAAUGGGCCAGUGCAAAUCCUACUUGGAUAACUGUGGUAAUUCCAGAGCUAAUACAUGCAACUGAUAUCCCGAAGGCGGUGUUGGGGCUUGCUUGCCUUGCGCUGCGCUGCUCUGACGGAUGCUUUUAUUAGACCAAGCCGCUGAGGACUUGAGGGUUCGCGCUCUCUUGUUUGACUCGUGUGAUGGUGACUCUGGAUAACCAAAUUCUGACAAGCGCACGUACUUCUCUUCUGAGCGAGACGGCGCUGCCACUUUCGAGUGUCUGCCUUAUCAGCUAUCAACCGUUCGUUAUGCGCGACCGAUGGCUUUGACGGGUAACGGGGAAUCAGGGUUCGAUUCCGGAGAGGCAGCCUGAGAGACGGCUACCACGUCCAAGGACGGCAGCAGGCACGCAAAUUACCCAAUCCCAGCAAAUGGGGGAGGUAGUGACGAAAUCUAACGAUGCGGGCGCCCUUUCUGGGGCCCCGCAAUCGGAAUGGGCACUUUCUAAACAACCUGUUGAGAACCUACUG